Equus caballus (horse) is the source of this 7984-nucleotide long non-coding RNA. The record is from Ensembl. Lineage: Eukaryota; Metazoa; Chordata; Mammalia; Perissodactyla; Equidae.
GGGAGUGUUUGCAGAUGGACCCGGAAGAUCUUUUUGGGUUGAUGGAAACUUUCUAAAAUUGGAUUGUAAUGAUGGUUACACAAUAUUUUAAAUUCGCUAAAAAUCACUGAAUUACAUACUCAAAAUAAAUGAGUUUUAUGAUACAUAUAUUAUUCCUCAAUAAAGUUGUAAAAUGAGAUUAAAUAGAUAAGUCAUGGAUAUGCAAAAACCAGUUGGGAGGUCACUGGGAUACCCUAGCUAAAACAUGACCAUGACUGAGACUAUGGUGGUGGCCUUCAUGUGGAAUGGGAAAUAGAUUUGAGAAAUAUUAUGAAUUAUAAGCAACAGAAGUUGGGGGAGAUUGAACAUGGAGAGUUUGGCUUAUACUCUCUCCUGUAGAAAUGCCAAAUAUCUUGUGAAUACUUGAACAACUCAUGCCCUUUCUCACCUCUCUCUUUGUGUGUUUCAUCCUGGAUUCCUCAGGAAUGAGUUUUGCACCAUUAUCUGCCUAGUUAUCUUAGAUUGGGCUGCUACUGGAAAUUGCCAUACACUGGGUAACUUAAACAGCAAACAUUUAUUUAUCAUAGUUCUAGAAGCUAGAAAGUCCAAGAACAAGGCACUAGCAUAUCUAGUGUCUGGUGAAGGUCCCCUUCCUAGUUGUAGAUGGCUGCUUUCUUGCUGCAUCCUUAUAUGGUGGAAAGAGAGAGAGCAAGCUAGGUCUCAGGCCUCCUCUUAUAAGGCCCCAAUUUCAUCAUAGAGGCUCCACCCUCUCGACCUCAUCUAAACCUAAUCACUUCCCAAAGGCCGCAUAUCCUAAUACCAUCACAUUGGCCUGGAGGUUUCAACAUAUGAAUGUUGGGGGAACACAAACAUUCAGUCCAUAAUACUGCUGUAUACCUGAUCAUCCUUCAAGACUCCAACCAAAUGCAACCUCUCUUUGAAAAUUCUUCCUUGACCCACCUCAACUCUACUUUGCCCUCCAGUACUUUCUGCACAUUUCUAUUUCAGCAUUUUAUUGUACCCCUUUGUUUACAUGUCUAACCCUCCCACUGGGUCACUGUUGUCAAACCUGAUCACUGUUGUCUGAUACUUGUCUUCACUUCCAUUACAGUAUCCCUGCCAGACGUGACUAAUUGAUCACAGCACUCUCCUGCUGAGUCAGGAUUCCUCUCAAAACAGUGCCACAGGUAGCCUCUUCUAACCAACUGGCAUUGAUACAUCCAUAAAAUCUAUUUGCCACAUCUGCUUUUAAUUGCAAUGCCCUUGAUGAUAGGCAUUUCUGAUGUGUCUAUGCAUCUCCUGCACCAGAACAUAGAAUGAAUACAAUUAAAUGCAUAAAAACCUUUUUAGGAAGAUGCUUCUAGAUAUAUUUACACUCGAUAUGUAAAGUAAUUUAUUCCUACCUAUCAUAUCUCUUUCAUGGCAGUGGCUUCUAAUUUUCACCAUCAGGGAGCAAGAAAUUUGGCUAAAUAUCAUGAUAGUUUCUUUCCAUUUUUUUCUUCAAAAUCCUGUGUUUUGUUAAGUGUAGGCACAGCCGAUAGUUUUCCAUCAUAAACUACCAAACUACAACCCGUAAUGGGUCUUUACACAAUGGUCUUUAUAUUUUAGACAUUAUGCCUUUGAGAGCUAAUGCUUUCUAAGUCGGGCAUCAAGAUAAUGAUUUAGUUAUUUAUUCCUUUGAACCAGCUACUUUAUGACUCAUUUUUCUCCCUAACCCGUGCUAUUCUACGCUAAUCCAUACAUUACUUCCCUUCAAUACAGAUGACACAGACUGUUUACUCAGGAUGAUUUUGCAAUAUGCACAUGAACAAAGACUUUGUGAGCAGGAAGAAUACCAGUUAUUCAACCAACUUUAAGAAAACAGCUGAGUGGUAGACGAGCUUAGCAGGGUGUUAAACAUCCAUUAAUAAUGGCAGGGCGACAAACUUGAAGGUUUUGAUUUUCGUUCAGAUAAGCACUCCAAAUUCAGAGCCAGGCUAAAUGUCUUUCUGGGUUUCUCUUAGAGAAAAUCUUACCUACCUCUGCAAGAAUGUUCAGCUGCAGGAAUGUUAGAAGGCAGACAUUUUCACAGUAGCUCAUGUAAUAAUUAUUAUGAUGUAAUACAUAUUAAAAGUAUUAUAAAUGUUGAACUUUGUAGGAUAGUCUUGAUUUCAAAGACUUGCCACUGCCUUUUCCCCAUGCCAAAGUUUCUCAGAUCAUACGUAUGGAUUUAUGGUUCCAUACGUAAAUGAAAAUAUGAAAAUACCAUCAAUAUAGUCUAAAGCUUUUAUUCCCAUUUAGAAAUUUUAACCAAACUAACUCUAUUCUCAGUGGAAAAAAAUCACGAUUUUCCUUCAAUUUUCAUUGAUUCUCAUGUUAUAUUGUACAUACAUCUAUCUCUUCCACCAAUCUGUAAUUUCUUUGAAAACUGGGGCCAUGAUGUUUAUUUUUGUGUUCCAUUAACACCUCUCCGUUUUAGGUACUCAAUUAGUGUCACUAAGUAACUAGUGUUACUAAAAAUAUGGUUUGCAAAAAAAAUUAUUUAUAUGCUCAUAUUAGGAUCAUUUCUUCAUGGCUUGUGGGAAAUUUCAUCACCAUUAAAAUGGUUCGUUUACUCUAGUUUCACAAGAAAUCAAUUUGUUUUUCCAAUAUGUGUUGAGCUAUACUAUGUCAGCCACUAUGAUGGUCAUUUUACACAAAUUUUCCCAAUUAGUACUCACAACCUCUCUAUGAAGUAAGUGCUAUUAUUAUCUUUUUUAUAGAUAAGAAAAUUGUACACAGUUACAUAACUCUUUCAUAAUCGUGCAGGCCUUGGGUAAGCAGAGAGACCUGAUUCAAAACCAGGUCCUGGACUCUGAAGCCCAGAAGUUCCAUUUCAUUGUACUUCUACGAAGAAAUUUCUUUUCUCUCUUACUCUUCAAGGAGAGAAAACAAAAGUUUUGUCUUGUCUUGGUUUCUUGUGGCUCUUUUUUUCCAAAGAAAAAUAAGUCUUUGGACUGGUUUCUGAGGUAAAAAUCCCAGCGUUUUCUUUGUGUCUUUUUCUUGUUGAUGUCCGAAUUCUAGUGCAUCAGCAAAUCCCAUCAUCCCCACUUUCAAAUUCUAUUGAGAACCUCACCACUUCUCUUCACUUCAGCUGCUGUCACCCUGGCCCCAGCCACCAGCAACUCCAGUGGAUUGUCACAAUACCUCUUCCUCUUAUAGCCCCACCACCAGCAUUCUUGCACCCCUAUAGACAACUCUCAAAAUAGCAGAGUGUUCUUUCAAAAAGGCAAGUAAGAUCAUGUUACUCACUGUCCCCCAUUCCAGUAACUUCCCAUCUCACUCACGGUAAAAGACCAAAUCUUUCCAACAGUUCUACACAAUUUACCACUUCUGUCUACACUCACUUCUCUGAUUGACAUCAUUCCCUACUACUCUGCCCUGUACUAACUCUGCCUAAGCCAUGCUAUCUCCUUUCUGUCCCUCCAAUUCAUGAUGUGUUUGUGCCACAGGGCCUUUGUACUUGUCAUUGCUUCUGACUGGAAUACUCUUCCCCAGAAUAGCUGCAUGGCUUUCUUCCUCACUUCCUUCAGGUUUUUCAUUGAGUCAGCAAGGGCUCCUCUGACUGUGAUAUUUAAAAUUAUUGCACACUUUACUUUUCCCCAUAGCACUUAUCACCAACUAAAAUACUAUAGAUUUCAAUUAUUUAUUUGUUAGAUGUCUGUUUUUUCCCAGUAGAAUAUGAGUUCCCUGAGGGCAGGGAUUUGUGUCUGUUUCAUUCACAGCAAUGUCUCUAGGAUUUAUAUCACUGCAUUGCACAGAGUAGGCAUUUGAUAAAAAUUUGUGGAAUCUGUGUAUCUUAUAUACUUCCACAUGCAAUAAUUUUCCACUUGUGACCUUUAAAUUAGAUGAAGAAGAAAUCUUGGAAUAUUUUGGAAUUUUUAGUUACAGUUUAAGUAAUCAAAAUAGUAGGAUAAUUUCCUACUAUUGAUUGAUUUAUCAUCUGCUGGUGUUGGGUAACUCAGAUUUUCAUGUUACCCACCCAUCAGCCAUUUUAUGAGGAUUUAUGAAGUUUUUUCUUGUCCAUCAAUUACUUUUGACCUUCCAAGCUGUAGAUUUGUGCUGAAUCAAACUCUAGUCUAGCCUUGUACUCUAAUUACGGCUUUCUCAGAGACAUUAACAUUUAGUGUUAGGCAAAUUCAAUUUUACUAUUGCAAAUAUAAACUGCACCAUAAGGAGAAAACCAACAUCAGUUUUUCAUUCAUUUCUACCAAGGGCCGGAUGCAAACAUUUUUAAAAGAAAGUGAAAAAAAAAUUUCAUUUUUACGGUGUAUUACAUUGUAAUAAUUUAGACUGACUUACUUGCCUAUGAAUUUCAUAUAACAUUCUUCAAACUUCUAAUAGAUUCCAAAGUAUGCAUUUUUAAAAGCAUAAAAUGGUAGAUAACUUAGAAUAAUCUAUUAAAAUGAUUAGAAAACUAAUUAAGCCAAAUACUAAAGAAAUGCAAAAUACAAAUCUUAUAUUCCUGUUUCUUUAUGUUAAACUGUUGUCCGGAUCAAUUUUUUCUUAUUUUUCUUAUUUUUAAAUUCAUAUAUUCAUUUGUGCACUCAUUCAAGCCUUAUUCAUUUCACAAUUUCGGCACAUAAUUUGAGCUAAGAGUAUAUAAAACGUACAAAAUAAGAUCCAGAAUUUCAAAGAUCUUAUAAACUAGUUAGGAAGGGAAAUCGCUUUCAUAAUUAUUUCUCAUUUCUUUCACUAGACAUCAAGUACAGAAAAUUUACAGGGGUGCACUAUUUGGGAAGACAAGAAAUGAGGUGGUGCCUUUAAGAUAGAUGUCUCCAGGACUGAAACAAAAAUAAAGUUUGCACACUUAACUCGUGUAAGCUUCAGAUACUCAGAAAAUUGACCUUCUCAGCAGUGCUCUAUAAAUGAAGUUGCAGAUCUGUGCACUGGCACACAGCAAUCUUUACUCUGUCUUCCUUCCUCAAAACCUUUCAAAAUCCUUCCCAGCCUUAGCUGCUUAUGCUGCAUGAAAGUGGUCGGUCCUUCCUCUAAGCACGUUGUAAGCCUUUAAGCUUGAGCUUCGGCAUCCUUUCCUUCUGGCAGCCUGCUUCGUGUCUUGUCUGGAAGAUGCCUUUCUGCAAGAGAGCCUGACAUUCCCUUCCACAGCUUCUUUCCCUGUCCUCUUACAGCACACACCCUAAAUUAUUAAAAUCACCUGCUUCCUUGUCCAAUUUCCCCACCAAGAUCGUAAACUCUGAAAAGGUUGGUAUUAUUUCCACGUUGCCGCCUUUGAGACACUACACUUAGCACAGUACCUGCCUUUAAAUAGCUGUUUCAUAAAUAUUAAUUGAAUAAACAAGUUGCUUUAUAUCAAAUUAUACCUUAAAUAUUUGAUUUAGAGUGUUCAUCUGCAGUGAUUAAGGAAGUAGUUAAGGAAGCAGUUAAUUUUUAAUAAUUUACCAAUGCUUAGGUGGACAGGUUUAGACAAUUUCAAAAUAUCUUAGUUGAGUCGGGGGUGAGAGGCAGGUUAAAGCAUGCCCAAGACACAUAAGGUUUCCAAAGGGCUUUGCAUAAAUAAGUAAUUUAUUUAUAAUUAUUGCUUGUAUCGUGGCUCUCCAAAUCUCCAACAAGGUGAGCCGAAAGACCUUGAAUAGAGUUCAAACUAAGAAGAAUUAAAAAUAUGAACCGAGAAGGACAGAAGAAGGGAAGCAUGUAAAAAUGUACUUGUUCAGUCUUGCUACUAUUUCCCGGAGUCAAUCUUGGUUUAAAACAUAAUAAGCAGACCCAGCUUGUCAUACCUACUUUCUCCCAGGGGUUUGAAACUGUAAUGAAAGCAUUUUAACUCAGUGGUAACUGGAUUAGAGUAAUGCAAGAACCUGCCACCUUGGGACCUCCUGCUUGUGUCUCGGCCUGAAUAAAUGUGCAUGGAAAUUGUUUUAAACUGAUGGCUGUGCAAGAUCACAAGUUAUAGUAAUGUUGACAGUCUCAGCUUGGAAGCUGGCAAAACAACAAAAAAUGUGGAGCAGGGAUUGCAAACAGCUCGUUUGCUGACAUGAAAGCAGUGCUCAGAGGUUUAGAUGUACAACCUCUGCGGGUCAAUGGUGACAAUAUUUGCAAAGUGUCACCAGCAUCUCUACUGUGAAUUGAAGCAACUUAAUAUGAAUCCUUGCCGCAAAUCUAAAGCAACUUGAUUUCUUUUCCAGCCUCCAGGACUCAUAAGAAGCCAUAAGGAGAAGUUUCUCAGACUUAAAGUGUGCAAAAGGAUACUAAAUCUUCCAUCUCCUGGAGGCUGGGUCAAGAGACUAAUGUCUACAGAGGGGAGAUGAUGCGACCAAAGCCCCAAAGCCCCAGAGGGCUGAGCCAGUACUCACACUUAGAGGAAUGAGGUAGGGAUGGCACUCUUAUUUUAACAUGUGGCACUGAAAUUCUCCCAGGGAGAGAAUUGCGGUAAAGAUAAUGUUUGGCUAAAUGCUUGUUGAAAUAAGUUUGCAUCACAGCAGAGAAGAAUUUGGACUUCCUGAUGUCAGGGAACAGAGCGUGUGGUUGAUAGUGGUGUGAGAAAGAAUAAAGGAGAUAACCAUGAAAAACUGUUCAAUAUGUGAUGGACAUCCUGACUCUAAAUGACUAUAAUCUGUUAAACUUAAGAAUGUGGCUUUUUGUAGUGGACACUAAAAAGAAAAUUUUAUAUUGGGGAAGAUGUAGUAAGAAUAGAAAACAUUGCUUAGAAAGGUUAUGGGAACUCAGGAUGGUGUAUUAUCAUUCUAAAGCCAUGAUGAUGUGAAAUGAUUUCUACUAUGAAUUCAGCUUGACAAUUAAAGAAAUUAAGUCACAGAAAGAACUUUCUUAACACUACCAAACCAGUGGGUGUUCCAGCCAGGAUUUGAACCCUUGGAGUCUGAGUCCAGAGUCAGUAUGGUAAACAGUUAUAAAGUGGAGCCUCUCCAAAAUGAUGGUAUGCUUAUUGCUUUUAAGAAUUUAAAGAAUUGUAGGGUAUAAACAGAACAAUUUUUGACACACUAAUGAGGAGAAGUCAUAGGUCUCUGUCAAAGAUAUUGUUUUCCCUGUGGCAAGGGAGCUAUGGAUAAUAUUAGAGACUUUAGAAGUGGGAUUAAAAAUAAGGCAAACAAGAAAUGAUUCCAAAAGAAUAACUUUCAUUAAAAUACGUUGAAAAAAAUACCAUACAGGAAAAUUACCUAGUUGACAUAUUUUUUCCUCUCAUAAGGUCUCCAAACACUUUCAUCAAUGAAAUCUCCAUCUAAGCAGCUGACUGCAUAUGCUGAUUAGACCGGAUAAAGCAGAAGAGAGAUGUGGGUGAACGUAGAACAAUAUUAGAGUGUGUCCUGUAGAGGGAAGUCAAACGGCCCCCAGUCAGAGGAGAUGGCGGAGGAGGGGGUACCUCCACAUCACAGCUUCUUCCCCAAUUACUGCAGCAGAAAAUGAAGGGUGCACCAUCAAGAUCAGAAAAUGUGAACUUCAAGUGGAUUCUGUGGAUUUCUGCUGUCAGAGAAACUGAAGAGCCCAGCAUUGUGCCUGGCACGUUCCCCAUACAUCUAUUAUGUGUUUCCAGUUGAUAUCGGUCUCUGAGCAUCGUGGCAUCUCACUCAGGACCAGAUGGAGUGCUGGAGUGCCUCAUCUCUCUCUCUGCUCAAGUGCGUUACUUCCCUGUCCAGCUACCGAGGAAGAGAGAAAACGAAGUCAGAUGAAGCAUAACCUUUCCCUGCUGAGGAAGCUGCACCUGGUUUUUCUGGGCGAGAAGAGGCUCGCCUCCCUGUGUCCUUCAAAGCAGCCGGCCUCUCUUCGACAAGGAUACUUUGGGAAACAGCAAGUGCCAGACCAUUACGGAACUCCAUACAGUCAAGCACUGAGCAAGUCCCCAGUGCUUCUACCCUGGACCCAGACUGCCUAAGUUUCGUGUGGAAUUCUUCUGUGGAGCGGAGAAAACAAGGGAGCUGGAGGAUAGAAUUUUUAUCCAGAUGUCUAGAGGAAGAUUGACAUUGGAAAUUUAACUUGAAGCCUUGCCCCAAGGAAAUGCUGAAACUCAGGC